Molecule: ribosomal RNA, 1240 nt
Filed under: metagenome
Description: bacterial LSU rRNA
Rfam family: Bacterial large subunit ribosomal RNA
Source: RNAcentral
UGAAUACGAGACGCUAAGGCGUCGAAGUAGUGUAUGUCAUACUUCCAAGAAAAGCUUGCACUGUCAUAGAUAAAAAACGCCUGUACCAUAACCGACACAGGUGGGUAGGUAGAGUAUACUAAGGGGCGCGAGAUAACUCUCUCUAAGGAACUCGGCAAAAUAACUCCGUAACUUCGGGAGAAGGAGUGCCUUAUUCGUAAGGUUGCAAUAACAAGAUCCAAGCAACUGUUUAUCAAAAACACAGGUCUCCGCUAAGUCGUAAGACGAUGUAUGGGGGCUGACGCCUGCCCAGUGCCAGAAGGUUAAAGAAGUUGGUUAGCAAUUGCGAAGCUGAUAACUGAAGCCCUGGUGAACGGCGGCCGUAACGAUAACGGUCCUAAGGUAGCGAAAUUCCUUGUCGGGUAAGUUCCGACCCGCACGAAAGGCGUAAUGAUUUGGAUACUGUCUCGGAGAGGGGCUCGGUGAAAUAGACUUGUCUGUGAAGAUGCGGACUACCUGCACCAGGACAGAAAGACCCUAUGAAGCUUUACUGUAACUUGAAAUUGAAAUUGGACUUUAUUCGCGCAGUAUAGGUGGGAGGCGUUGAUUAUAAUCUUGUGGGAUUAUUGGAGCCAUCAGUGAGAUACCACUCUUGUAAUGUUAGAUUUCUAACUUUGAAUCAUUAUCUGGUCAAAGAACAGUUUCAGGCGGGCAGUUUGACUGGGGCGGUCGCCUCCUAAACGGUAACGGAGGCGUACAAAGGUUUCCUCUGAACGGUUAGGAAUCGUAUCUAGAGUGUAAAGGCAUAAGGAAGCUUGACUGUGAGACCUACAAGUCGAGCAGGGACGAAAGUCGGUCUUAGUGAUCUGACGGUACUGAGUGGAAAGGCCGUCACUCAACGGAUAAAAGUUACUCUAGGAUAACAGGCUGAUCUCCCCCAAGAGUUCACAUCGACGGGGAGGUUUGGCACCUCGAUGUCGGCUCAUCGCAUCCUGGGGCGGUAGUACGUCCCAAGGGUUGGGCUGUUCGCCCAUGAAAGCGGUACGCGAGCUGGGUUCAGAACGUCGUGAGACAGUUCGGUCCAUAUCCGGUGUAGGCGUUAGAAUAUUGAGAGGAGCCUUCUUUAGUACGAGAGGACCGAGAAGGACAUACCUCUGGUGUACCAGUUAUCGUGCCAACGGUAAACGCUGGGUAGCUAUGUAUGGAGUGGAUAACCGCUGAAAGCAUCUAAGUGGGAAGCCCACCUCAAGAUAAGUAUUCC